This 446-nucleotide ribosomal RNA is filed under the name Bacillus sp. MAL 22. RNAcentral describes it as "bacterial SSU rRNA". It matches the Rfam family "Bacterial small subunit ribosomal RNA", at positions 995 to 1442 of the family's 1533-position model. Lineage: Bacteria; Bacillati; Bacillota; Bacilli; Caryophanales; Bacillaceae. The record is from RNAcentral.
CAAUCCUAGAGAUAGGACGUCCCCUUCGGGGGCAGAGUGACAGGUGGUGCAUGGUUGUCGUCAGCUCGUGUCGUGAGAUGUUGGGUUAAGUCCCGCAACGAGCGCAACCCUUGAUUUUAGUUGCCAGCAUUCAGUUGGGCACUUUAAGGUGACUGCCGGUGACAAACCGGAGGAAGGUGGGGAGGACGUCAAAUCAUCAUGCCCCUUAUGACCUGGGCUACACACGUGCUACAAUGGGCAGAACAAAGGGCAGCGAAACCGCGAGGUUAAGCCAAUCCCACAAAUCUGUUCUCAGUUCGGAUCGCAGUCUGCAACUCGACUGCGUGAAGCUGGAAUCGCUAGUAAUCGCGGAUCAGCAUGCCGCGGUGAAUACGUUCCCGGGCCUUGUACACACCGCCCGUCACACCACGAGAGUUUGUAACACCCGAAGUCGGUGAGGUAACCUU